Molecule: long non-coding RNA, 655 nt
Filed under: Bos taurus (domestic cattle)
Lineage: Eukaryota; Metazoa; Chordata; Mammalia; Artiodactyla; Bovidae
Description: long non-coding RNA NONBTAT010929
Source: RNAcentral
CACAAAAUCACAUAAUUGUUAACAGUGCUACAGUUUUACUGAGCUCCACUGGGGCAUUAGUAAGCUAGACUGAGUGGUAAAAAGCAUUAAAUUUCAAAAUAAACAAAUGACAACCCUUCACUUUUUGCCUCUCAAGAACACAACAGUAAUUUACUAAAACACUGUUUAUUUAAAAUUUCUGAUGACUAAAUAGGCUUUAAUUUACAUGAGAUAAAAUUUUGUAUAAUGUAUGCUUGAUACAUAUUUUUCAUCUAGAAUGAAAAUACUGGGAUAUGAUUUUCAUUUGCCUAUGCUUCAUACAUUUUUAAUUCUUCCCCUGGAAUCAUUUAUCUAUUAUUUUUUUAAAAAUCAAACUCUCUUUAAAGAAAACUUUUAAAUAAAACUGAUUGAUCAUAACAUGGCAUGUUCUUAGCUAAGGGCUGUUUGGUCUGUUUAGGGUUGAAAUUACCCACUAUUCACUUUUAAGGUUUAAAAAACCAAGAGAACAUUGCCCUAUUUGAUAAAUAAAAAGCCAAACCAAAUACAGAGUAGCAGAAAGCACUGUACUAUCUAGAAGUGAAGCUGAUUAAAAAAUAAGAAUCAAAGUAUGAAAAAACAAAAUAUUUUUUAAACGAUUCUCUUGCCUUAAGAUAAAUGUAGGGGUAAUGCAUGUAGA